UUUUGACUUUAGACAAAUUUAUUGUAAAUAAAUUUUAAUUGUCAAAAU
This 48-nucleotide transfer RNA is filed under the name Tetranychus truncatus. RNAcentral describes it as "tRNA-Tyr". The record is from RNAcentral. Lineage: Eukaryota; Metazoa; Arthropoda; Arachnida; Trombidiformes; Tetranychidae.